This 253-nucleotide ribosomal RNA is filed under the name uncultured bacterium. Its description in RNAcentral is "partial 16S ribosomal RNA". It matches the Rfam family "Bacterial small subunit ribosomal RNA", at positions 524 to 776 of the family's 1533-position model. The record is from RNAcentral.
UACGUAGGGCGCAAGCGUUGUCCGGAAUUAUUGGGCGUAAAGAGCUCGUAGGCGGUUUGUCGCGUCUGCUGUGAAAUCCCACGGCUCAACCGUGGAACUGCUUGGCAUACUGGCGAUCUUGAGCCACUUAGGGGCAACCGGAACAAACGGUGGAGCGGUGAAAUGCGUAGAUAUCGUUUGGAACGCCAAUGGUGAAAACAGGUUGCUGGGAGUGUGCUGACGCUGAGACACGAAAGCCAGGGGAGCGAACGGG